GGCCUGGUGCCCAAGUAGUAAGGGAACUGUCUGCAAAACAGUUAUACGCGGGUGCAAUUCCCGCCCAGGCCU
RNAcentral lists this transfer RNA (72 nucleotides) under Candidatus Woesebacteria bacterium. Its description in RNAcentral is "tRNA-Cys". It matches the Rfam family "tRNA". Rfam says of the family: Transfer RNA (tRNA) molecules are approximately 80 nucleotides in length. Their secondary structure includes four short double-helical elements and three loops (D, anti-codon, and T loops). RNAcentral also lists the same sequence under 2 other names. The record is from RNAcentral. Lineage: Bacteria; Candidatus Woeseibacteriota.